UUUUUUUUUCAAAAACUUAAGCAACUUAUACUAAUGCCGGCGAUCUCGAAGGAAGAUAUCUGGACCUGGAGCAAUUCGUCUUGAUAUUCAUUAUAUUAGGAUGCAACGAAAAGGAAAAAAGAUGAUAAGCAAGAAGAGGAAAGAAGAAUGUUAAAGAAGUCCCUAUAAGUGCUUCACUUAGCAUUUCUAUAGUUUUUCUUCCCCUCUUCCGUCAAAGCGCGCUCUUUAAUCCAUGCACAUGCGUCUUUAUUGCAUUCCCCCUUCCCUCACUUGCAGCAGCUUAUUAAAAAUUUGAAAAAUCAAUUCAAUUGAUUUGGUUUAGUUUAGGAGAAAACUGACUCAAACCUAACCAUGAAUGCUCGUACACAGAAAAAUUGAUACUAUAUGUCAUGUACUGCCCUUAAGCUUAGUGCUUUAUGCACUAGUUAAAGGUUGUCUUAAAUAUAUUUUUGAGUAAUCUGUUUGGCCUCUUGGUACCAUGUAAUUGCUCUAGUUCCUAUCUCUGAAGCAAUAUUGCGUUAUUAUUAUGCAAUUAUUGAAAAGGUAUUGCUUGCGCAGUUGCGUCGUAUGGGGAUCAAGGGAUCAAGAAAAAUGAAAAAAAGACGAGUAAAGGGCGGUAGUGACUGUAAUUGUGAAAAGAUUGGAAGAUCGGGCUAAAGAAGACGAUAGCCCUAUAGAUUCGUUCCUAUGGUUCAAUCCUUCCCAGUAAAAUGCGACGUGUUCGAAUUCUGAUCGCUUUUACGCGAGAAAAGGGGAUCACCCCCUAGGCCUAAGUAUUCCUCAAUGACCGAUAGCGUAGAAGUACUGUGAGGGAAAUGUGAAAAGAAUCCUAUUUAGGUAGUGCAAUAGAGAACCUGAGAUCCAAUGUGAACAAUCAGUCGAAGGAGCGGAGCUUAGAGGCUUUACUUUAUGUAAAGCUCACUCACUCUAAUGACGUACCUUUUGCAUGAUAGGUCAGCAAGAAAAUGGGAACAACGGCUUAAGCCAUUAGGUGUAGGCGCUUUACAAGGUGGAAUCUUCUAGUUCUUCCUAUUUGACCCGAAACAGAUCGAUCUAGCCAUGAGUAGGUUGAAGAGAGUGUCACACCUCCUUUUUACUACCCUCGGAAGGGUAUAAGAGAGUUUUUUUCAAUUUAAGUGACAAUCGAAACCGGAUUUAUUUAUUUAUUUAGAGUCGUCAUUUGGAAUAAUUUAUGGUGUCCCAAGUCACCGGUUUAGAAUCCCGAAUCGAGGAAAAUUAGAUUCUAAUUAUGGUCCGCGAACACAAAAUUCCGGGUAAGGAAUUCUGUUAACCCAGGAGAAGGUGUUAGGCAUUCCCGGAUUCCAUGGUUUUAGCACGGUCGCUCAACUAUUAUUAUUGGCCUAAUUAUCUAAUUUUUUACACGUUUUAAACCUAUUGUGAAUUUUUAACUCUUUAGCCGCUUUUAAUAUUUCGAAAAAAUUCAAGGUUAUUUAAAACACAUCGUAAGCCACGCUACAUGAAAUGCACCCGUCGUUCACGACACGUUUUAUUUAACCUUGUUGAAAAUUGGAGUCGGGUCACAUGAAAUGCACACCCGAACCCCUUUAAUCUAAUUUGACGUAGUUUAAUUGAUGAAUAACAACCCAAUUUCUAUACUGUGACAAAAUCAUGUUCAGCUAUAACCAAUUCGGGUAAACAUGAGAAGAUAACCGAGUAGGCAAAUUCAAAACCACGGAGAAUAAUUACAAAAAAAUGACGGGAUCACAUCACCAAACAAAUAAUUGACAUUAAGCGUGAAUAAAACAAAUCGAGGAUGAAAUAGUUGAACCUCAAUAUAGCCCAAAAAGUUGAUUGUUUCACUGUUUUGAACUCAAAAUGUGACGAAUCGCAGACGGGAACCCAAAUCGGCACCGAAAAUCUAAAACCAACGACAAACUCGAAUCAACCUCGACUUAACUCUGUUCCCAUACUCAAAAAACCAAAAAUCAGAACCAAAUGAAGAAAUAGAAACAUCUUCGUCGACAGAUUCAAACUUAAGACGGAACUCUGGAUCAAAUAUUUCAAAUCAACUCUAUCCUCGAAAUCAAACUUAACAGAAUGAACCAAAUUAUUUUUUUGUAUUUUCUGAUUGUAUAUAGAACUGGUAUUUUAUAUUCAAGCUAGGACAUUAAAUUAGAGAAGUAACAUUCAGAAUCGAAGAACAAAGAAAAACAAAAACGCGCUGAAACAGUGACCCCGAAUCUCGACGGCGACAAACUCGAACCAACUCUCAGUACCUCAAGUGCAAAUCCACUUCGAACACAAUCCAUAAGAAGAAACAAAUAAGAAAAGGGGGGCAACUGCAGCAAAGCUUCCUCUUCUUCACUUCAUUUUCACCAUUAUUGUUACUAUUUUCGUUGAAUCCUCGCUUGGCUUCCAGGUUUUUGGGUUGCUGCUCUUGAAAGUGUGCGACUGUUAGAAUCCUAGGUUUAGGUUCUCUCAUUGCUGCCUCUUCUUGGUGUACUUAGGGUUCAGUCUUUUUUUUUGUUGUAUUUUCGCUGGUUUUUCAAUUGGAGAAGAAGAGCAGAACGAUGAGGUCGUUCUCUGGUCUUCAAUGGCAUUGCUUCUUAGCUCUAGGGGUCUAGGCGUGUUUGUUGUUCCAGUUUUGGCUGAGGUCUUAAGGUCUGUGACUUAUUGUUGAGAUUGUCAGCAUCUUGGUCUUUUUAGGUUAUAAUUUGGUUUUUAUUUGAU
Molecule: long non-coding RNA, 2691 nt
Filed under: Nicotiana tabacum (common tobacco)
Lineage: Eukaryota; Viridiplantae; Streptophyta; Magnoliopsida; Solanales; Solanaceae
Description: long non-coding RNA (NTAB_LNC012093)
Source: RNAcentral